UACGGAGGGUGCAAGCGUUGUCCGGAUUUAUUGGGUUUAAAGGGUGCGUAGGCGGCUUUUUAAGUCAGCGGUGAAAGACUUCAGCUCAACUGAAGUACUGCCGUUGAUACUGAAAGGCUUGAGUAUUGACGAAGAGGGCAGAAUUGAAGGUGUAGCGGUGAAAUGCAUAGAUAUCUUCAAGAAUACCGAUUGCGAAGGCAGCUCUCUAGGGAAUAACUGACGCUGAGGCACGAAAGCGUGGGUAGCAAACAGG
RNAcentral lists this ribosomal RNA (253 nucleotides) under uncultured bacterium. Its description in RNAcentral is "partial 16S ribosomal RNA". It matches the Rfam family "Bacterial small subunit ribosomal RNA", at positions 524 to 776 of the family's 1533-position model. The record is from RNAcentral.